Molecule: ribosomal RNA, 253 nt
Filed under: uncultured bacterium
Lineage: Bacteria
Description: partial 16S ribosomal RNA
Rfam family: Bacterial small subunit ribosomal RNA
Source: RNAcentral
UACGUAGGGUGCAAGCGUUGUCCGGAAUUAUUGGGCGUAAAGAGCUCGUAGGCGGUUUGUCGCGUCUGCUGUGAAAACCCGAGGCUCAACCUCGGGCCUGCAGUGGGUACGGGCAGACUAGAGUGCGGUAGGGGAGACUGGAAUUCCUGGUGUAGCGGUGAAAUGCGCAGAUAUCAGGAGGAACACCGGUGGCGAAGGCGGGUCUCUGGGCCGUAACUGACGCUGAGGAGCGAAAGCAUGGGUAGCGAACAGG